Molecule: long non-coding RNA, 16240 nt
Filed under: Lactuca sativa (garden lettuce)
Lineage: Eukaryota; Viridiplantae; Streptophyta; Magnoliopsida; Asterales; Asteraceae
Description: long non-coding RNA (LSAT_LNC002124)
Source: RNAcentral
CACAACUGAUCGAGGGCUAACCAUCGGAGGUCCCUUCUCCCGGCGUUCGAGUUCAUCCAGCUUGAAAGUAAUCAAUCGAUCCCAAUUCCCACCUUCAAAAAGCACCCCGGCCUUUCCAUCAGUAAUCCUUUGCACAAUCCCACAAUACAUGUGGUAAGGACUGUUUGGAUUCUUGACAAUUGCGAUCAUUCCAGGCAUCAACAAUGGCAAUUCCGGCGCUUUUGGUUUCCGGACCAAGCUCCCAUUAAAACCUGAUGUUGUUGUUGAUGGUGGUGGUGGCUUUUUAGGAGGUGGGUUCUUCUCAAUGAAAUCUCUGAGACCCUUUUCACCACCUGGGAAUCCGCCUGUUAGGCCUAAUAGCUCCUUGUCAAAUCCAUCUUCAGGUAUAAUUGAUGUGGCAAGAUCUUCUUGAUCGGAGGUAGUAGUGGGUGGCGGUGGUGAUCUUUCCGGUGGGGGCUUUUUCAGUUCCUGUUGAAGGCCUUCUUCUCCAUUACAUAACCCUCUGCCUCCCAAGAUUUCGUAAAGAUUGAAUUUUGCAGAUGGGUUUAUGAUUUGAUGUGAUGAUUGUUUUGAUGAUUUGUGAGAGUGAGUGAGAUUGAUGAACUGGGUUUGGCCGAGAAACUGAGAUUUGUGAAGGAGAGGACCUUGAAGAGUUGGGAGAUUGAAGGAAGUAGCCAUUUUUUAGCCUUUGAGAAAGAGGAGAGAAAGAAAGCGAACUCAAAGGUAAAGAGUGAAAUGACUUCAAUGGAUGCCAGCCACAAGUUCUAGUUGGAUGAUAGUUUUGCUAUCUUAUGUGGCUUUUAGUAAGAAUUUAGUUCUUUUUCAUUGGUAGAUAAAAGAUAUAUCAAAUUCUAGAUCCAUUCAUUCCUAUAAAACGUGUCAUUUAGAGCUCUAAUUUAUUGCAUAAAAUUGAAGAAUUAAAUCAUAUAGAAACCGGGUUAAAUGAGGGCGAAAGAAAAAAAAAAUGUUUGAUGAACCAAUUCAUACUCGGGGCAUCUUCAGUAAAACUAGUUGGUAACGGUAAUUGGUAGCGGGUAGCUAGUAGCUAAGUAGCGUUUAAUUUUGGAGCGUUUCGUUUGGGUUAAAAGCUAAACGUUAUUGUCGAUGAACGAGGUUUUUUCUUUUGUACUAGCAUUUUUUUAAAAGACAGAAGUCAGAAGCUCACAAACGAUGUGUGUCGAACACAUCCUUAAAAAGUUAAAAUCACAUGUUUUGAUCCAAAAAAAUUAUUUUGACCUAUUUUGUCACAUCUUAUUCAUAUUACACGGUCUUGAUGGGGUUCAAAUGGAUAAGAUUUCUUCUUAUGGUUUUGACAAAAGAAGAUUAAUAACCAAUAUUUUUACGGCUACGGUGAUAAAUUUUUGAUAACAUUUAAACUUUGUAACUAUUAGCUUUUGUUUGGGAAAAAAUUAAAUUAUACUAUAUAAUAAGAAUUAACGUCGGUGGUGUUUUUACUUGGCAAUGUAUAUUCCAUCCAGCCAAACCCAAGAGCUUGUCGUUGUCACAGUCGUUCUCCUUCAACGGUGUUCACCACUGUCAUCCUCCUACGACUUUUUGGUUAACUACUCUCGCAAAGUAUGUUUUCUAUCUGAAUCUACAGUAACCUUUAUUGUUUUUAUUCUGUAUUUAAUGCAAUUUUCACUAUCAUUUGGGGAAAAUCAGAAAAAUCCGUUGCAGAUGAUGUUUUCCUUCAUGGUUUUCCAUUUACUAGUUUGUCUUCAAGGAUAACUCUACAUUAAUGUUGUAACAGCGUCAUUUAGGUUUCCAUUUUGUAGAUGAAACAAUAUUUUUAAUCUUCUGAAAACUUACAUUUUGCCUAUUACUCUUGCUUAUAAUAUAUUUAGUACCAACAAUUUCAUCAGAGUAUUUUUAGGUUCCUAUAUUGCUCCUAAUUAUAACAUUGUACUUAAUAACAAAAAUAAAAUUUUGUACUUUUUUCAAACAUUCCUUUGAAACAAACCAGUGAGACAAUUACUAUAAAAAACUCAUUAUUUGAAAAUUUUGCUAUUUCGGAACAUGUUAUGUAAUUUUUUUUGGUUGUGUGACUUAUGUGUGUUAAGUGUGUGGUGAGUGUAAUUUCAAAACCUAAAAGUUUUUAUUUUAAACAUAAUGUACAAAUAAAACAACAAUUUCAAUCAUUUUGAGAACUUUUUAGUUUUAACUUAUAUGUAUUAGGUCAUUUUCAUUUUUUUAAAGGGUUAAGAACUUGUAAGCAAAUCAGAAACGAUACCUUCCAACUUCCGACUAUAACCGCGACUAACUCUAAGGCAAUCAACAAUGGUUGCGCAAGGCAUCGUGUAAGGGUUGUGUGGCACCCAACCCUAUAUAUGAACAUCGCCCCACAUAUUCGUAGUCAUGAUGUGGCGUGAGAUGAGUGUAACGAUUAUGUGACCUUUGAAGCGCUUGACAAAAAAUAAUAAUAAUAAUAUGUAACAUCCAUAAAAUCAUGUCAAAAUUGAACUUUUUCAAAACAUUUCAAAACCAUUAAUUAUUACAAAACUUGUUUUCAAAAUAGUAUAAUAUCAUCCCAGAAAACAGUCAUAAACAUGAGGAGAUGUACGAUCACGUCUUUGCCUUCCCGCAAUCAUCUGAUGUACCUGAAACUGUAAGCCCAAAGCUUAGUGAGUUCCUCCAAAAUACCUAUACACACAACACUAUACAUAUAAUCACGAACAACAUACUACGGGUCCAGUCAACCAUCGGGUUGGAAUACCCAGGCCUUCAACCAUCCGGUUGGAAUGCCAACAUACUAUGGGUCCAAUCAUCCUCGGGAUGGAAUACCCCAGGCCACAACCAACAGGUUGGAAUGCCCACAUACUAAGAGUCCAAUCAUCCUCGGGAUGGAAUACUCAUGACCCACAGCCAUCGGGUUGGAAUGCUCAGGUCUAUUGGCUUUCGCACAAAGCAGAUAAGCCUCAACCACCAAUCAAACAUGUGCACAUAUAAAAAAUAACCACAUAACAGUCUAUAGACAAACAAACCGAUCUAACAAAUCAUAACCACAUAUAACAUCCUAUCUAUGUUGGAUUAGUGUCUAAGUCCAUAACUAUUUUGGUAUGUACUUGAUACGAUGGUGCAUGGUCCUUUUGGGUUGCCUUCACCAAAGCAACUUGAUUGGAGAAAUAAAUAAAGAGAGAGGUUAUUAUGAUUUAUUAAUAUGUUAUAAGAAUAAUAUAUUAAAGGAUAAAUCAUAUUUGUUUAAUUAAUAUUGGUCAAUAAUUAAUUAAGAAUUAAUUUUGUGAUCAAGUGUAAUUAAUUAAACUAGAGGGGCUGAAUUGUAAUUAUGUGAUAGUUACAAAAUAAGGUAAGGAUUAUCUUAUAUAUAUGGUGNNNNNNNNNNNNNNNNNNNNNNNNNNNNNNNNNNNNNNNNNNNNNNNNNNNNNNNNNNNNNNNNNNNNNNNNNNNNNNNNNNNNNNNNNNNNNNNNNNNNNNNNNNNNNNNNNNNNNNNNNNNNNNNNNNNNNNNNNNNNNNNNNNNNNNNNNNNNNNNNNNNNNNNNNNNNNNNNNNNNNNNNNNNNNNNNNNNNNNNNNNNAUCCUCUCUCCUCUUCAUCCUCUUGCUUAUGGUGUUUGUGAGCCAUUAGAGGAUUGACACUUGUUACUCUAAGCCUUCCAAAGUCAAUUCAAGGAGGAAUUAGGAUUGUUAUUGCUACAUAACAAUCAAGGUAAUAUCAUACACCUAAUUAUAUGUUAAUAUCGAUUUCCAUAUGCUAGAAUUAGGGUUUAUAGUCUUGGAUUCAAAGCAUGUACAAUAGAGAAACCUAGAUCCAAGCAUUAGGGUUUGUAUGAGCACAUAGGAUGUCUUAUGACCAAAACCCAUUAGUGGUAUCAGAGCCUAGCUUGGUUUCAAUUGUAUUGAUGCAUUGUAUAUCUGGAAAAUUCGUUUUUUGGGUUUCUGGAGGCUGGACUCGCCGAGUCCAUAGCUGAACUCGCCGAGUCCAAGGUGACUCGACGAGUCCAGGCUUGACUCGACGAGUCAACUCGUCAGAUGGAGGUUAUCUCGGGAUUUCUUGCUGUUUUUGCAUUGGGAUAGUUACCUUAUCAUGUUAGAUCAAUAUUAAUCCGAUUUUAUGAUAUAUUUGACUAUAUUUUUGAUCUAAUUGAAGAUAUUUAUCAAUUAAUAAGAUAAUUGUUUCCUUAUGUGAUAAUUGAUUAAUUAUUUUGACUAAAUUGAUAAAUUGUUUUGCAAGAAAUCAUUAAAUAAAUCAAAUAUGGAUAAUUAUGUGAUUAAAUGUUAAUUUAGAUUAUUUGUUAUUUGAUCCUUGUUGUUAUGAAAAGUUUCAUAUUUUCCCCUUUAGGUUUUAUAGUUUAAAUUUGAACCCAAAAGUUUUGUUGUUUUGAAAUUUAAAUAGUUGAAACCCUAAUGUUUUGAAAAAGGUUUCAAAACUUGCCCUCAAGUUUUGGAAUUUAAAUUUUGAUUAAAUGGUUUAAUUUUGAUGUAUAUUUAAAUUCUAAACCCUAAUGUGUUGAAAUGUUUCAAAACUUGCCCUCAAGUUUUGGAAUUUAAAAGUUGAUUAAAAGUUUAAUUAGGAAUGUUAAAUUCUAAAACUCUAGUAUAGUUUUGAAAAAGUUCAAAUCACACCCUUAUGGUUUUAUUAAUUAAUUAAGGUGUAUAAUUAAAAGAGGUUUAAUAAAUCCAUAAAAGUUUAGGUUUACAAUUUAAUUGAAUUAAAAGUAUAAUUGUUAAAUUUGACCACCUAGUAUUUUAAAAGUGUAAAAUACACCCUAUACUAUAUAUAACAUUAAAAGUCUAACAUUAUAUAUAUGUAUGAGUAAAAGUCAGUCUUACCGUUAGUAGGCCUCAUUCACGAAGCUGGUCUAUAAGGGGUGUUUAAGGAAAUUGCCUAUAAAAUGGCGAUUGAAUGGGUAUCCACUCUUACCCACCGCACUCUUGACUAGUGGAGGGUCGUUAGCCGAACGGGUAGGAUAGGACGAAACCUUCCAUUAUAAGUAUAAUGAAGUAUAAAAGUAACUAAAUGUUUUCAUAAAAUUCCCAAUCUUAGUUACUUAGGCAAAAGUGAAUUGAUGCAAUUCCAUGAAAUUACACUUUGUGCCCUUGCGAAGACGUUAGUGGAGCGUGUGUGGUUUACCGGCACACUAAAUGGUUCUAAGCAAAGGUAGCAAAGGGUGACUCAAUGUUUGUCAUAGUUCGGUGGAGCGUGUGUGGUUUACCGGCACAUCGAAUAGGUGACUGUAACAUGUGAGGGCACCAUGUAAGUUUGCAUGGUUAUUCACACCCGCUUUGUGAUCCUCGGCAUCCCAGUCACAAACAAGAGGGGCAUAUCGAGAUUUAAACAUGCCAUUGAAAUGUUCAAUGAAUCUCAAAGGAUCUAGGAGUUUUCAUAGAUUUAAAACUUAAAUUUCUUUUUCGUUUUUCAUGGUGGAAAUUAGUGAAUCGUCAUUCACUUACCUUCAAAUGUUCUGCAAUUUGGGUUACGGCAUCCCUCUCCCGAGUUGUAGAAUAUUGUGUUGGGUCCUAGCCUUAGUAUCUCAUUUGGGUGAUUUACUAAGGACUCAAUCAAUCAACUAACUUGAAUUCGUUUUCUCCCGUUUUGUAGAUGUCAAAGUUCGACAACUAUGGUCUUCCCAAAUCCCGUGGAACAAGCAUUCCACAUGAAGAUGAUAUUCCACGAUUCGAUCGAGGAACAAGAAAUCAUGCUUCACUUCCUCCACCUCCUCCAAUUAUUCUCCCUAACCCACAAGUUCAAAGGCUUGAAAAGUUCAAGAUCACUCAAGCCCUUUUGGCAAGUAAACAUAAAGAAGGAAAGUCGGUGUGUGCACACGUCCUAGGGAUGAAGUCACACAUUGAUAGGUUAAGAAUGUUGGGAUCCGUUGUCUGUGAGGAAAUGGCUGUUGAUUGGGUUCUUCAGUCACUUCCUAACUCAUAUAGUGAGUUCGUAAGAGAGUACUAUAUGAUGAACCACGACGUGACCCUUAUAGAUCUCACCUAUAUGCUUAUUGCUGCUGAAUCAGCAAUGGUUUGGCGCAAUAGAAAAGCAAAGUUGAUUGGUGAAUCUGCCUUCAAGACCUCUAUGGAUAUAGACAAUGGCAACGAAAGACAUGCUAUGAUCGAAAAGUUUGAUCAUAAGAGAAAGGCAAUGUCUGAAGUAGUUCCAUGUCAUGUUCCAAAAGAGUCAAUUUGCUUUUAUUGCCAAGAGAAAGGGCAUUGGAGACGAAGCUGCCCCAUUUACCUAAGAGAUCUAAGAGAUGGGAGAGUCGAAACGUAUGGCUCUAAUAUAGGUAAAAUCCAUUAACUAACUCUUUUAAGCUUCUAUUCUAGAUUCUUAAUACAUAAUGUGAUAAGAUUACAAUUGAUGUUUUGUAGGAUCGAAGAAAAGAAAGGAAGCUUAAGGGAAGAAGUGAGCAGAAUCUAACCGUGAAGGAAUGGAUUUCGAUCGCAUUUCUCGAAGAUUAGAUUCUUGAGCUACUACUUAGAGUUAGAAUUAGAUUGCUAAGAAAGAUGUAUUAGCAUAAGUUUUUCAAUGAGUUGCAUUGUAAGGACAAAUUUUUCCGCAAUAAAAUAAAUUUUGAUUUUAAAUUUUAUUUAUUUAUCCUUACAAUGGCGUGUAUGAAAAAUUGAUGUUAAAAUGUUUCUAUUAUUAGCAAUAAUGGAUUUGGUUCUUAUUAUGUUAUUUAUGGAAAGUCGAGAAUUUACCAAAUAGGGAGAGUUUCUCAUCGCCCAAGUUUCAAUUGGACAGAAACUUGGAAUCAUGCAACUUGGUUGCACGAUGAAUGAGAAAUUUCAUAUUUGGAAAUUAGACUAAUUCAUUGACAAAGUGUCAAGUGAAGGACUAGGAGAUCGAGUACACAAAGUUGCGUGUUGAUCAAGUCCACCAUAAGAGUAACAAAGAUAUUCGUCAUGAUUUACUAAAGGUUUAGUAAAUAUGAUUAUACUUAUAAGAUUAAGUGUAAUUCUGAAUUGAUUGAAAAGGUUUAAAUCAAUAGCAGAACGAAUAAGAAGAAUCAAGUAGGCAGAAAGAUAAAAGUUUCUCCAUUCUAAGAAGAAGGGAGAGUACCUUUUAUGCUUUAUGAUAGGUCUUAAUGAUUAAGAACCAUAUCUCAAUUGAUCCUCUAAGUGAGUCUUAGUACAAUUGUAUGUCUAAGAAGAGGAAUCAAGAAUUGAAGAAAUGGUUAAAUCAAUAAGUCAAUCAUACUUCGUUCCAAUAACAAGUCUUAAAGUUAAGAUUGUGACAUUGAGUGAAAGGUAUUAAGAAGGUUUAUAACAUUCAUUAAAUGUGGAAAGUUGUGAUGUCUUGGAUAAGACAAAGACCAACUAGGACCAAUUUAUGAAGUGUUUUGAUAAAAGCUACACUAACUCUUGAAUAUUUGUUUGUCAAGAAAUGGUUAUUGACAAGAGAAUCUUAUAUGUCAAGGAGUCAGUGGGAGUCUUAAUGGUCUUGAAAGGUUUCAAGAACAAAUCAAAUAAACCUUAUCGAUCAUCACUAGCACACGAGUUGAGGUUUACAACCUAUCGUGUUGACAUUAUUUUGAUUCUGUGCCAAUCCAAUCGAGUUAAUUAUGCAUGUGAGUUCUAUGAGUUCUCAUUUUGAACGCAUAAAAGGCAAAGCACCUUAAUCAAUGAAAGGUACAUUGAUAGGAAAAGGUGAGCUGCUUAACUACUUGGAAGACAUGGUGGGCAGCUGUGCUACCAUAAGGCAAGAAAUCAAGAUUAAGAAAGUUCGGUCCAUAUGAGUUUGAAUUUGUCGUAAACUUUGGUUUUAACAAAUUCACAUGGAUAGGAACACAUACACCGUUUAAAUCUAAGUGUCAUAAGAUUUCCUCCUUCAUGAAAAUGAUUGUGAGGAAAUGCUUUCACUAAGAAAGAUUUUAAGAAGAUAGUGAUUGUAAAAUUGCAUUCUCGAAUUCAAUUAUGGUUACGGCAUCCCUUUCCAUAAUUUGAAUUGUGAGGUUUGGCAAUUAGUCUUAAUUGUUUAGACACACAUAUGAACUAUCGAAGGCAAAGGUGUAUAAGUUCAAGAAGCAUUGAUAAAGGAUUAUCAAAGCACUAAGUAUUAGAAACAUGAACUUAAGAAAUUCAAUAAGUAUUGUUUUCUGAAAGUUAAGAUGUUUAUGAAUACAUGUCGAAGCUAGUGGGAGCAUAAGUGUUAUGUUUUAUAAUAAUCAUCAUGAUAGUGGGAGCAUAAAUGUUAUGAUUGUAUGAUUAUUAAGGAAAGUAUUGCAAGGUUAGCAAUAUUAAUUAUAGAAAACAAGAGUCAUACUUUGCAAAGUUGUAAGAGUUGAAAAGUUGUUUUGCUAUAAUUAAGGGAGAGAAUAUUAUGCUUCAUUUCAAAUCUAAAGGAUUAGGUUGAGAAAUGUUAAUAAAUUUAGUCAAAGGUACAUAGUGUGUUCUUAAAAUUUCGAUUAUGAUUACGGCAUCCCUCUUCACAAUUCGAAUUUUGAGAACAUAGCAAAUAAAACAUUAUGCGUCGUGUCCCAUACGCUUCGGGUAUAGGAUCGAUUGCAAAUGCUUUAAUGUUUGACCAUUCUAAAAUUUUCCAAAUGUCGAGCGCAUUUAGAGGGAAAAGGGACUAGAAUUGGUUUUGACUAAAAUAAUUAAACAACUAUCAAAGGACAAUCCAAAGUUCGACGAGGAUUGGUCGCUUGUGAGUAGUUGGAAGUAUAGUAUUGGAAAAUAUGGAAAUGUUUCCAUAUUGGAUGGACCAUAUCGACAUCAUUACGAAUAGAUAAGAUUCUAUUAAGAAUGAGUUGUCAUAUGGAACAUAUGGAAGUGUGUCCAUAUUGGGAAUUGAAUAUUGAGAAAUCUAUGACUAGAUUAGAAACUUCUAUGCAAAAGGAUGUUCAAAGAAUGUACUUUGAGUGAGAGACAUCACAUCUAUGGAAUUGUCUUGUAACAAUCUCCGAUAGAGGACUUUGUAAUAUCAUUGGCAAUAGUCUUUGUGACUUUGGUGCAGUGACAUUACGAAAGGAUAGUUGCAUAGAAUGUUAGAAUCUAGCAUAUUCUAUAAGUAGCAAGAAUUUGAUAUUCUUUCACUUAUGAAAAAGGAUUUGGAGUUGUGAAAUGAGAAUGAUUGGAAAUGUGUUCAAUUUGAUCUAUUUCACAAAGUAAGAACCAUAGGUAAACAUUGUGUGCAUGCUAGGAGCAUGGGACAAGUGUAAUAAUUCAAGUAAGAAGUUGAUUACCCGAAACGACAAAUAAUGAGUAAUCGAUAUGGUGAUAAAUAAAAGGUGUUUUAUUUAUACUCAAAGGUUUGAGGCCAUAUGGGAUUAGUAUUAUUCUUGUGUUUCACAUUUGCAUGUUUUGACUUCCAGAAUAAUUGAGUUUAUUAAGAAUAAUCGAAUUAUUCGAACGGGCCACAGUCGUUCAUAUGUUGGAAGUAGAUAUGAAUGAAGACUGUCGUGAAUUGGUGUGUGGAUUGUCUAAAAGAGUAUUAGACAUAAGCAAAUGUUUGCUGCAACGUUCAUGAGUGCUUAUGAAUAUGAUUUGAGCAUUGGAUUAAACCCACGCUCACUUGGAUCACUCCAUGAAUUGUAUCACGAGUGAUUGGUGAGACGAUAACAUCUUAUAUUCUUGAAACCGAGAUGUGUGAGUUGUAUCUUGCAAAUCGGUUGCACAUUGAUAAUAUGUAAACGCACUAGUAACUUGGUGUUAUAAAACAUAUUGUUGUGUGUGAUUCGGUGCGUGAGUACAAGCAAGCAUUGUAUCAAAGUUUAUCCGUUCCUUUUAUCCAAAGUAGGAUAAAAGCGAUAUCUUUGGGCCCCUCGAUGGUUUAGUGAUGACAAACGUAAAUGCUCGGCCGGGCUAGGGCUAAUUUGAUUUGUUCAAUUAGUCAGUCGUCAUAAAUCGGAAUCGAGAUAUAGUACAAAGAGAAUGAUUUGAAAUCAUAUCUCAUAUGAUAUCUAGAAUGGAGGAAUAUAUGAUCCCUUAUCUAAGGACACGCGUAUCUGAUAGGAUCAGAGUUGACAGCGGCUUUGGAAAGCUACGAUUGCAGAUCAGGAUCUGAAGUCAUACGCAGAAUAGUUAUUAGACUUAUCCAAGUGGGAGACUGUUGGAUUAGUGUCUAAGUCCAUAACUAUUUUGGUAUGUACUUGACCCGAUGGUGCAUGGUCCUUUUGGGUUGCCUUCACCAAAGCAACUUGAUUGGAGAAAUAAAUAGAGAGAGAGGUUAUUAUGAUUUAUUAAUAUGUUAUAAGAAUAAUAUAUUAAAGGAGAAAUCAUAUUUGUUUAAUUAAUAUUGGUCAAUAAUUAAUUAAGAAUUAAUUUUGUGAUCAAGUGUAAUUAAUUAAACUAGAGGGGCUGAAUUGUAAUUAUGUGAUAUUUACAAAAUAAGGUAAGGAUUAUCUUAUUAAUAGGUUGGACGAAUUUAAGGUGAUAAGGCCUUAGAAUUCGACUAGGAUAAGGGUUUUCAAGGCUUAUCUUAUGGUUACUUGGUGGACAAGCAACUAGAUAAGGAUAAGGACUAAAACCCUAAUCUCUACACCUAUAUAAAGACCCCCAAGGCUCAUGAAUUCGUCAAUGCCUUCCCAAGAGGGCCUAGAGACGAAUUCUUAUACCUCUUCUCUCUCUCUUUAUACCUUCUCCAUUUGCUCUUGGUGUUUGUAAGCCAUUAGAGGAGUGACACUUGUGACUCUAAGCCUUCCAAAGUCAAUUCAAGGAGGAAUUAGGAUUGUUAUUGCUACAUAACAAUCAAGCUAAUAUCAUACACCUAAUUAUAUGUUAAUAUCGAUUUCCAUAUGCUAGAAUUAGGGUUUAUAGUCUUGGAUUCAAAGCAUGUACAAUAGAGAAAUCUAGAUCCAAGCAUUAGGGUUUGUAUGAGCACAUAGGAUUUCUUAUGACCAAAAACCCAUCAAUCUACUAGGAUACUGAUCUAACGGAUCAUAACAGCAUGUACCAUCCUAUCUACCAGGAUACUGAUCUAACAGAUCAUACAAUACUCAAACAUAUAUCAUAUCAGGAUAACAAUCCAAACGGGUCGGCCUUGGUGCCUUUGACCCUUGAGUAUAAUAAGGAAAACUCACCUCACAACUGUCGAACUGAAGUGAUAAGUUCAAACUCUCAAAUCACCGCCAUGUACUCUGCCGCCUAUAUUUACCAUAGGACCAUAUUCAUAAAUUUCCAAUUUACCAAAAUACCCCAGAAGUCAACUAGUCAACCCUUGGUCAAAGUCCAAGUCAAUGGUCAAGGUGGACGCAGCUGCAACCAUCGUGAAGAUCGGAUGAACCAAGACUCAUAGCCGUUGUGGUUGUUUUCCGGUGGACACACGACCACCAUUUCCUCCGCCGCACCCACUGCAGUUGAAGACGAAGACCGCCUUUGGCUGUUAUGGCAACAGUCGACCGGAAGAAGCUAUCUACAAGUGUCAUCUAUGUUAUUCCCGAUGGGGGAACAACCGCCUUUUCUCUCCUCCAUCUUGUUCUGGUAACGCGUUGUUGCAUCGCCACUGCCGCUCCAGCGGCUGUUCCACCCGUUAUCGUCCCUGUACUCCACCAGGUGGGUGGUUGUGUUCAUAUUUUGAGCCAAGGUGCGCGUGUGUGUUCUUCUGCUGAUAGUGUGCAUGUUGUGUGUGUGUUGCUGGGCCGAACAUCACAAGAGAGCCAUCACCACCACCGUGAGGUGGUAGCUAUCAACCCCGACCACUGCCUACCACCACAAGGGUGGUUGUAUGUGUGUGUGUUCCUUUUAGAUAAUAUGUUGUAAAAUGUAUUGCUUUGGCCGGAUUAAUCAAGGAAAAACCCACCACCACCAUCGUGAGGUGGUGGCUGCCACCACCAGCUGCCGUGUUGGGUGACGGUGUGCAUUUCUAUGUGAUUGGAUUGGUAUUUGAGAUGCUUAGACAUGUUUUGGCCUAGAAUCAUAACCACCACCGCUAGGGGAGGCAAUUGAUGACACGACACGACAAAAAUACACGACACGAAACGAAAUUGAGACGAAAUUGAAGUUCGAAUUCGUGUUCGUGUUCGGGUCGUGUUUGUAUCAAGUGCAAAAAACACGACAUCGUGUCGUGUCAUGUCAUGUUCGUGUUCAAAAUUUGACAUGAAAUUGACAUGAUUUAAUAUUUUUUGUUGUGUUUUUCGUGUUAUGUAUGAAUAAAUAUUAAUUAAAUACAUUAAUUUUCAUUUCAUGGUAUUUUUGUCGUGUCGUGUUUGUCGUUUUUUAAUCAGUUCGUUUUCUUGUUAGUUAAAAAAACCCGAGAUCGUUUUCGUGUCGUGUUCGGGUUCGGGUUACAUAAAACCUUGUCGUGUUGUGUCAUGUCAGACAAAAACACGACACGAUGGCCCGAUUUGCCACCCCUAACCACAGCCACGAGGUGGUGGCUGCCGACGUGAGCCGUCGUUGACCAUAAUUACCCGAGGUGGUAGUAAAUGGUGCCCGACUUAUUUAGCACAAAUUGACCUAAAAACUUAACCAAUGGGCUAAUUGACAUGCGAUUGGGUUGGAAACCCUAAUUAGGGUUUAGAAAACCCUAAUUUUGGAUAUGUUAGUUUGGAAUUGUCGGGCCUCGCAUUUUGGACCAUUGGAUUGAAGUUAUGACUUAUGCUCGACCAUAUUGUAUGAUUGGUCUAGUGAAGAGAUGGACUUAAUGUAUUAAGUCCUUGAUGGGUUAAGUAAAAACACUCAACCCUAAUCGUCUUUUUAUGUGAAAACCCCUAAUUAGGUUUGGGUUCUUUUUGGGCCGUUUCUUGAACUAAGUUGAUGUGGUCCUUCGUGGGCCAAUUGGGAACAUGUUUACGAACUAACGAAAUUAUUAGGCUUUAGGAUAAGGCCCAUUAGAAAGGCGUGGGCCCAAUUUAGAAAACUGGGCCACAGGUGGGCCAUAAUUAGGCCUUGAUGAUUAUGAGAUAUUGGACCAUCGGAAUGCCAAGUGUUUGGACUAGAAUAAAUGGUUGGGCCCUAACGUAAUACCAUGUAGAGGUUUGGGCCCAAUUUGGAAAACCAGGCCAUAUGUUGGGCCUUUUUUGAUUAUUUGGCUUUUGGGCCUUCAGAGUGUGAGUUUGGGGCCUAGUUUUUGAACCAAGCUAGGUAAGGGGUAAAAUGGUCCUUUUACCCCAAGUGUGGAUUUAUGGUUAUGUAUUGAAACGCAAAUGGUUAAUUGGGUGUUGUUUUGAUAUGGACAGUUCGAGAGUCUAUUAUCCAGUAGCUAGAGUUUUAUCCAUGGGACUUCGGUAGUGUGAGGUGAGUCUCCUCACCAUACCAAUGGGUCGAAGGCACCAAGGCUGGCCCAUUUAUCUAGUUGUGAUGAGUAUUUCGAAUGUGAUAUCGAUACAUUAUGUAUUUAUGUGAAGACCAUGCGAGGGUUCCCAUGGCAAUUAGUUAUAUGUGGUAUGCUAGUUGAUUAUGUGUUAUGUGGUGUGCUGGUUGUCUUUAUGAUACUUGCAUGGAAGACCUCGGCGGGUUCCCGAGGCAAUUGGAUGUAAGACCAUGUGGGGGUUCCCAUGACAUUCUAGUGGGCUAAGACCAUGUGGCAGUUCCCAUGGCACCCGGUGUAAGACCUUGGAGGGUUUCCACAACAUCCGUAGUUAAGACCAUGUGGGGGUUCCCAUGGCAGUGGGCUAAGACCAUGUGGGGGUUCCCAUUGAACCCGGAGUAAGACCUUGGAGGGUUUCCAGGGCAUCCUUAUAUGUUUGUAUGUAUGGUUUAUAUGGCUUCUAUGAUAUUUCUUCUGAUCAGUUAAGACCAUGUGGGGGUUCCCAUGACACUCGGUGUAAGACCUUGGAGGGUUUCCACGACAUCCCUAUAUGUUUAUAUGCAUGGCUUAUGUGAUUGAUAUGGUUUAUGUGGUUAUGUGGAUAUGUGGGGUAUGCUCUGGGGAACUCACUAAGCUUCGUGCUUACAGUUUUGUUUAUGGUUUCGGGUAUCGUUGGUUUGGAAAGGAAGGGCUUGAAUUGAUCACAACACACACACUCGUGUUUUCUGCAUUAUGUGAAUUUGGGAUGUAACUCUGAUAAAUGUUUUAAUCAAGUAAUGUUUUUGAAUGGUUGGAUUAAGUAACAUUUGUGUUUCACUAUAAUGAAGAAUGAAAAUUUUACCCUGGAUUUUUGGGUCGUUACAAGUUGGUAUCAAAGCCUUGGUUUGAUGGAUUCAGACAUACUCUCGGCGUGUCUAAACUCAAACGGAGGAUCUUUAAAAUUUUCAAAAGAAAAAUGUUUUCAAGGAAAGAGUUUUCUAAGACACGAAAGGGUGUGGUGCAUGCAAUCGGCCGAGCUCAAGUAAGUUUUCCCCAUAAUACCCAUAUAUGCCAUAUGAUAUGACUUGAUUUAUGAAUAUGUGAAUCGCAUGCUAGUUAGGGAUAAUAGAGAUGCCUUUGUAUGUAUGAAUUAUGAUGUAUGAGUUGUUAGACUUUCAUGCUAGUGUUGAUUAGUCAACGAUAGAUUGGCCUGAUAUGUGAUGUUUGUAGCCUUGGGGAUAUUGGAUGCUAUGCUGGAAUGGGAAUGCCUACUGGUAUUAGUAACUGCUAAGUGCAUGCUUUAAAAAUUAUAUACGGUUAGGAUCUUAUAGCCUUAGAAUAAUUGAUUUGGCCUUAUUUCCUGUUCUUUGUCUGGUUAUGGUACUAGGGUAGAGUCUAUUAUUCGACAGUCUAAUAGAUCUUGUUCUGUGUAUAAUUUUCAUGCAUAAGGCAGCCGACAAUGAGGGUGGGUGUGGAUAGCAUGAGUUGUGGUAUGUGGGCUGAAUGUUCUAUGAUAGUUUCAUGGGUUGGAGAGUUACUGCACGAAUAUUGCUUGCUUUGUCCUUUGUGGAACUUUUGGAUGAUGGUAAUCAGCUACCAAGUGAAAUAUGACGAUAUUCAGGAGGAGGGUGGCUGGCAUCAUGAGGAUUUCUUUAAUAGUUGAUGGCAGGGUAAGGUCAGGAACCUAGGAAAGCCUAGGAUUACUCCAGUGAGUUUAGGGAGGCGAUUUGGCGAGGUUUGUAAUGCCCGUAGAUCCGGGCUAGUCAACUUAGAGAUAAUAGGGGUCGAAAAUGACUUUUCGACAAAAGAUUAUUUAGAAUAAAUAAUCUUAACCAUGUUGUAUAAUAUGUCUCAAGGGUUCCGUACAUAUAAAGAACGCCGAAAUCCGAAAAACCGGCACAACACCGGGAGACAUAAAUAGUGAAUUUACGAUGGAGGACUGUUUAGCCUUAGUGAUCUAAACCAAAAUUAUAAUAUACAUUAAACCGAGAACAUCCAUAAAAAGAACGCCCAAAUCAGACUUCGUAUGAGGAAGUUAUGAUUUUUCUAAGAUUCGGUUUAGCAGUGUACAGCCCGAAAUUCGAAUUUUAGUUCGAGCGGUUUUUGGCUUAUGCAACCUUAAUGAGAGUUGAAGAUCUCAUUAAUAGGAACUCAACGGUAAAAACAUAGACAAAAACGGAGUUCGUAUGUAGAAGUUAUGAAUUUUACGUAGACAUUUAACAGUAUCAUAUUCAGCAGGUUCGUAGCAGGCUUCAAACCGCACAGAGUCGGCAGAAAAGUUACGCCGACAAGCGUCGAUCCGACCUGGAUUUCUAGGUUGGGGAUAUGGUUCUCCUGAAGGUGUCGCCUUGGAAAGGCAACAUUCGAUUCAGGAAGCGGGGCAAGUUGGGCCCGAGAUUUAUCGGACCGUUCAGGGUUGUAGCCCGGGUGGGCAAGGUGGCGUAUAGGCUGGAUCUGCCAGUCGAGCUCAGCCAGAUCCACAACACUUUCCAUGUUUCUCAGCUGCGGAAGUGCCUAGUGGACGAUUCAGCAGUAGUGCCGAUAGAGGAUAUACAGGUUGAUGACAGCCUGAAUUACAUUGAGCGCCCAGUCGCAAUCCUCGACAGGAAGUCGAAGGAUUUGAGGAACAAGCGAGUGGAACUCGUGAAGGUGCAAUGGCAGCACCGGAAGGGAUCGGAGUGGACUUGGGAGCCGGUGGAAGAGAUGAUGGAGCAUUACCCCGAGCUGUUUCAGGAUCGAGCAGCAGACUUCGAGGACGAAGUCUAAAAUAAGUGGGGGAGAUUUGUAGCACCUGGUUCCUGGUAUGUAAGAUUUAUCUGAGUAUUUUGUAUUUUGGCCUUGGACUCGGCGAGUUGGAGGCCCGACUCGCCGAGUAGAGACGAGACUUGGGACGCGGUUAAGUUGGCGACUCGGCGAGUCCGCGCUGUCUGAUGAAACCCUAAUUUCCAAGGGUUUGCACCCUAUUUAAAUGACCAUUUGCGCCCCAACUCCGCCCCAUUCACCCUCAGAGCCCUACCCCUCGUUCAAAGCUUUAUUCCUUGAGAGUUUGAAGCAUUCCUAGUGUGUUUUGAAGUUUUGGAGAAGGGAGAAGAGUGGAUCAAGAAGAAGAAGAGGAGGU